ACAAUGAACAAGAAGAAGAUGAUAGGGAACAAGAAGAUGAUGAGGAACAAGAGGAAGAACAAGUGGCUGAUAAGGAUGAUGAACAAGAAGAAGAAAGUAAUACUGAAGAAGAAGAAAGUGAAAAAGAUGAUGAACAAGUGAUUGAUAAGGAACCUAAAAUAGAUUCAAUAGAUCAGUAGAAAUAUGAUGAUUAUGGGAUAUAUUUCAUUGUA
Molecule: long non-coding RNA, 212 nt
Filed under: Elaeis guineensis (African oil palm)
Lineage: Eukaryota; Viridiplantae; Streptophyta; Magnoliopsida; Arecales; Arecaceae
Description: long non-coding RNA (EGUI_LNC056580)
Source: RNAcentral